UUCAGUUUCACGUGUACGGUAGCCAGCGAUCUGAAAACAAAAUGGCAUCAGCCCUUUGUAAAUGCUACAAGUUGUUACAAGGAUAAUAUAUUUAAUGUAUCAUUGAACUUUUUCCACAAUUUGUUGAAUUUUACAACAUCAAACAGUGAUUUCAAAGACUUCAUCCAUCAUAAUGGUACUGCUUGUGUGAGCGAUAUAAUUACCCAUACAAAUCAAUGCAUCAUGAAUGUUACUGGUGUACAAAAUGUAACGGGAGGUGUCCACAAUGUCACCGAUCGUCGGAAUGUCACGCAACCAUCAUUAUAUUUACUUAAUCUCGAUAAUAAAGAAGCAUGCGGUGAGACCAGCAGGUUGAAGGAUUGUGUGGUAAAUCUUAUGAAGACCAAGAAAUGCCAUGAAACUGGUUCCAGGUUCAUCAGUUCAAUCUCCGAUUUUGUAAAGAAGCAACUCUGCAAUGGGGCACGACGCACCAACGCCACUAGAAACAGUGCAACGUUUAUUGGGGCCAAUGUCAUAUUGACAACACUAGCUGCAUUGGCUCUUGUCUGAAAUAUUGUAUUUAUAAGUACUUACCUAAUUAAAUAGGCCUCUCAUUAUGACUGUAGGUACGCCGGAAGCGCCACUGAUUUGUUGUUCUAAGUCCAAAUAAUAAAAUAAAUUAAAUGAAAAUAUAAU
Pectinophora gossypiella (pink bollworm) is the source of this 675-nucleotide long non-coding RNA. RefSeq lists it as uncharacterized. Lineage: Eukaryota; Metazoa; Arthropoda; Insecta; Lepidoptera; Gelechiidae. The record is from RefSeq and is a predicted model, not a curated record. The transcript is spliced from 4 exons.